AUUGAACGCUGGCGGCAUGCCUAACACAUGCAAGUCGAACGGCAGCACGGCAGUAGCAAUACUGUGGGUGGCGAGUGGCGGACGGGUGAGGAAUACGUCGGAAUCUGCCCAGUCGUGGGGGGAUAACUAGCCGAAAGGUUAGCUAAUACCGCAUACGACCGAGAGGUGAAAGCGGGGGACCGCAAGGCCUCGCGCGAUUGGAUGAGCCGACGUCGGAUUAGCUAGUUGGAGGGGUAAAGGCCCACCAAGGCGACGAUCCGUAGCUGGUCUGAGAGGAUGAUCAGCCACACUGGAACUGAGACACGGUCCAGACUCCUACGGGAGGCAGCAGUGGGGAAUAUUGGACAAUGGGCGCAAGCCUGAUCCAGCAAUGCCGCGUGUGUG
Molecule: ribosomal RNA, 384 nt
Filed under: uncultured bacterium
Lineage: Bacteria
Description: bacterial SSU rRNA
Rfam family: Bacterial small subunit ribosomal RNA
Source: RNAcentral